RNAcentral lists this long non-coding RNA (330 nucleotides) under Coffea arabica (coffee). RNAcentral's name for it is "long non-coding RNA (CARA_LNC006556)". Lineage: Eukaryota; Viridiplantae; Streptophyta; Magnoliopsida; Gentianales; Rubiaceae. The record is from RNAcentral.
AUAAAUUAGCCGAGGCAUUGCAAUCCUUUCAAGAGUAAGCUCUCUUUCACAUAUCAUGUGUUGAUCAAAGUAAGCGAUUCAUUCGGACUUUGUCCUCAUUUUUGGGACAAAUGUCUUUUUUUUUACUCCAAUUGGACAAUUUUUAUUUUUAAUUAUUUUUCACUCAAUCAGUUGAUCGGAUUCAUCAGGUAUUGUAUGGUGCCUACCCUAGAGGAUUGCAUUUUCAUGCUAGGCCUACCCUUGGCAUAAAAGGGCUCCCCCAUAGGACAUGCAUACCGAUCUUUUAUUCUUGCUUACUGACUCGGAGUAUUUUCCUUUUCUUUUUCCCCC